RNAcentral lists this transfer RNA (68 nucleotides) under Cuspidaria undata. RNAcentral describes it as "tRNA-Glu". The record is from RNAcentral. Lineage: Eukaryota; Metazoa; Mollusca; Bivalvia; Cuspidariidae.
UCUUUUAUGGUGUAUGUUUUAGCACUAUAGAUUUUCAGUCUACGGGAAUAUAUUUUAUAUUAAAAGUU